AUUAUCUUGGCAGAGGUUAAUGCAGUAAAUUUAGAAUUUAUUUAUGUAAUUAUUAUUACAGAUAAUA
This 67-nucleotide transfer RNA is filed under the name Pirkimerus japonicus. RNAcentral describes it as "tRNA-Leu". The record is from RNAcentral. Lineage: Eukaryota; Metazoa; Arthropoda; Insecta; Hemiptera; Blissidae.